UACGGGGGGGGCAAGCGUUGUUCGGAAUUACUGGGCGUAAAGGGCGCGUAGGCGGCCUGUUAAGUCGGACGUGAAAUCCCUCGGCUCAACCGGGGAACUGCGUCCGAAACUGGCGGGCUUGAAUUCGGGAGAGGGAUGUGGAAUUCCAGGUGUAGCGGUGAAAUGCGUAGAUAUCUGGAGGAACACCGGUGGCGAAGGCGGCAUCCUGGACCGACAUUGACGCUGAGGCGCGAAAGCCAGGGGAGCAAACGGG
This 253-nucleotide ribosomal RNA is filed under the name uncultured bacterium. Its description in RNAcentral is "partial 16S ribosomal RNA". It matches the Rfam family "Bacterial small subunit ribosomal RNA", at positions 524 to 776 of the family's 1533-position model. The record is from RNAcentral.